This 405-nucleotide ribosomal RNA is filed under the name uncultured bacterium. RNAcentral describes it as "partial 16S ribosomal RNA". It matches the Rfam family "Bacterial small subunit ribosomal RNA", at positions 28 to 526 of the family's 1533-position model. The record is from RNAcentral.
GACGAACGCUGGCGGCGUGCUUAACACAUGCAAGUCGAGCGGAGCGGCGAACGGGUGAGUAACGCGUGAGUAACUUACCCCCUCUCUGGGAUAACAGUUGGCAACGGCUGCUAAUACCGGAUAGUGGGGGGUGACUCGUGUCCUAUCAGCUUGUUGGUUGGGUAGUGGCCUACCAAGGUGCCGACGGGUGGCCGGCCUGAGAGGGCGACCGGCUACAUUGGGCCUAGAUACGGCCCGAAGUCCUACGGGGGGCAGCAGGGGGGAAGAUUGCACAAUGGGGGAAACCCUGAUGCAGCAGCGCCGCGGGCGGGAUGACGGCCUUCGGGUUGUAAACUGCUUUCAGCCAUGACGCGGUAGUGGCAGAAGAAGCACCGGCUAACUACGUGCCAGCAGCCGCGGUAAUUC